AUGAUUUGGGCCUAUAGGUGGAAACCAACUCCCCCUACAGCAGCUUGGCAUGUUUCCUCGCUGCCUUUACUUCAAGACUGGAUCCCCGCCGCUGCUCCAGGAGCCUUGCCUAAGAAUGCAAUUUUAUGCAAGGUAUGCGUGUAUGCAUGCGCACGACCAAAUAAAAAUUAGCGUAGCUUGCACAAGUGGCGCAAGGCUAAAGAAACAGCGGAGCUGAUCGGCACCUAGCUGGUCCUGGUCUUACGGGUUAUGGUUUUCCGGAAUUUAUUGAUUAUUGAUCGAUUAUGGAUUACCUAUUGAUUGGCUAUCGCAAGGUAUGGGCCACGUAUUUGGGCUAGGCUAAUCACUCCCAAGUCAUCCCCAGCACUUUCCGGAAUUUCUUGAUUAUUGAUCGAUUAUCGAUUAGCUAAUGAUUGGAUAUCGCAAGGUGAUGCGAGGCGCAGCUGUGCGCUGUGACGUCAUCGCCAGGCGAGGUUUUGCGAACACUACGCGGGGAAGCAAAAAGCUUACACAGCUCCGCUGUUAAAAAUUUAAGGAAGUGUGGCCUCAGUUCCUGAAAGCGCAAGCGGGACCCAACACGACUCAGCGUUUUCUCUGACAGCUCGUCUAAGAUGACCCAGAACAGGUCACCAAACAUCUCUCUUCGUUUACGUUUUUCCCCCGGUUGAUUCAGCAGAUACGAGGGAAGGUUCGGGAACACUUUCGGCACCGCACCCUCGGCAAGUGUCCACUUGUCUCGUGGCACCUCAACCGUCUGUCUAUUGAUAAUAUGCACAAACACUUUAAGAUGUCCUGCUCAUGAAAGUUUAAAUCACACACCAUGGAUUUCGCAGAGAGUUCUUGGUCGGCACGAAGAAUCGCCUUGUUGAAUGCCGAGAGAAGUGUCGCGUUGCUGGGAGCACAUAAGAAGUGGCGCGCCGAAUUGUCGACAUCGUUUGAUAGGCGCUUCUUGCAGUCAGGAAAGCAGCACGUCGGCAUCGUCUGCUAAUAUCCUUAACAAACGCGGUGAAGGCUACAGUUUCGCGGAUGGCAUGCUUCCUGAAAUCUGCCGUCAACAACCAACUCCAAAAUACACCAACGCUGCACCGCGUGUUUCGUCCAGCCAGUUCGCGUAGCCGACUAGUGGGGAAGUGAAGCUAGGUGUGGCGUCCGCGUCAUGAAGGCGCGGGCGGGUGGCGGUUCCGCGCAACGCCGCCGAGUUUUACAACUGAAGCUAGUCUGGUAACGUUGGGGCAAACUUUGUCUUGUUACCAUUAGUUAUUUCAUCUUGGGGCGUUGCCAGAGCUCGUGAAGGUCCCGAGUUUUGCGAAACUCGAGACAUCCUGCAUAGCACCCCAGGGGCUGUAUUCACGGGAGAUCACUUUCGCAGAUAGUUUCAUUUUCAAGAGAUUUUACAAAAAUCGGCCCCAGACGCGUCCGCGGAUAGGACCGUCAGUGUUUAUGGCACUGUGCCCAGCCCGCUAUCUUUGCAAAGUGAAAGGGCGCUGAAAAAAGCGCAAGUGAAGCCCGCGAAUACAGGCAAAAUUGCCGCGUGACUGACCGCUCGAGGCACUUUGCGUGUGUUCGCGGGCUUCUUUCACGCUCGGAAAAACACUUUUAUGUAGCAAGUUUUGAGCAACAAUAAGCUGCAUCGGGAGUUUCUCAUGUUGCUCUACAAUCUUCUCAUUAACACUUUUAAUCUAAUUAGAAUAUUUGAGAUAUUUGAGAAGUUGAUAAACAAUUGAGUCUAAUUAUGUAAUCAGGGUGAACGCAAAUAAUAUUAUAAAUAUAUCCAAGCGACGGCAAACAACCUUACCUUGGUUCUGUCUAGCUACGUGGCAUUUGUAUAUUUUUAAACCUUCAUGUAUAAUAGUUGGGACACCUGGUAUAUAUGCAGCGUCUUUGUAGUUAUACGCAAUGGCUAGCUUCACAAAGUCUGCGCACCAUAGCUGUUAUUUGCUAUGAGAGUCAUAAUUUUUGCUCUAAAUUAGAGUCGCCAAGCACAUAGGAAAAAAAGUUAUUUGUUAUCACGAUUGCCUAUACCGGGGCUUCUUUUAUUAUUUUUUGGAAGUCCAAAAUUUAUAAAAAAAAUGCCUCUGCACUACAUUAAUCCUCCUCCAGUCCACAGCAUUUUCAGGCAUCGAGGAAAAUGCAUGGAUGAAUUUUUUGCCUUCCACCGACAAAAGACAUCGCCGAGAGCUAGUGGGGCUAUACUAGUCAAAGUGAAACCAAAUAGACCUUAUUUCAAGCUAUCCCAGAAACCACUGCGGGCGCGCAGUGCAGCAUGGGAAAAGUAUGUAUGCCGGCGGGGACGAGGUCGGGCCGGGUCGGGCCGGCAGAGUCUGGCAAGCACUCCACGUGGGGAGCGAAAAGCUGCGACGCGAGAAGCGUUAAAUCCAGGUCUGGUGAAGGCAGUUCGUCAACGCAGCUUCUCUAUCCGCAUCGUGACACGCUCGCGUCUUCUGAAUAAACCACCAAGUGCAUCGCGUGAGGUGCAGCAAUGGCCUCUGUGAAAGAGAGGCCGGUACUUGCUCCACAGGAAUUUCAGGCUCUUAAAGGCCCAUGGACAAAGCAAAUGAAAGGUUUUCCAGCCACCUUUUGUGAGGCAAGCAUCCUGCAGUUUGAAAACCCACAUGGAGCCAAGAAGCACUGUUCUUCUGGAUACCGUAUGUUUAAAGCUGACAAAGUGAGCUCUGUGCUUUUGCACUACGGCACUGACAUUACAUUUAAUAAAGCAAGUGUCCAGGCACAUUUUUAAUUAAGCGAGAUGUAUGACACUAGCUGCGUACUCGCCUCCGACGGCAAAGUCCAAAGUGGUCGGUGCACAUGUGCGGAUGGUGCAGGAGGCGUGUGCAAGCAUGUCGCUGUAUUACUGUGGUACUUUCUGGACGUUCAGCGCAUGGGCCAUCUCUUUGUGCCAGAUAGCAUAUCAUGCACAUCUAAGUCAACAACUUGGGGGUGUCAGAGCUCAACGCGUAAACUUGAGAUGACGGACUUUUCAGAGCUCAAGUUUACUGAGCACCAGCCAGGCAAAGUGCCUCGGCAACAGGAACGCUCAGCUGAAAAGCUCAAUUUUCAAAUGAAAGCGUCUGCACUGAAGAAGCUGUGUACAGGUCUCCAGGAAUCUGGGCUCUCUCCAAUGUUAGUUGCUGUGAUUGAGGAUGUCGGUUAUCAACCGAACAAAAUUUGCCAGUCCGCUGAAGGUGUGUCCAAGCAGCAACAACAAAUAAGGCUGCCGUUGUGUAUGGAAUAUAAAACACGAGAUGACAUGAAAGUUUGUUCUUUGUCCCUUGAAGAGGCUCAGGCCUUGGAAGAAAUGACAAGAGGCCAGAGUAAUGUCCC
Molecule: long non-coding RNA, 3321 nt
Organism: Dermacentor silvarum
Lineage: Eukaryota; Metazoa; Arthropoda; Arachnida; Ixodida; Ixodidae
Exons: 3
Source: RefSeq, a predicted model, not a curated record